AGGCUUAUGGUGCAGCAUUCUGCAAAACAUUUGUGUUUUAUUUGUGCAAAAACUAUAUUUGGGCAUGCAAGUCAAAACACUAUCAAAUGCAUUAAAAUUGUAUUUAAAGGAAUACUUCACUUACAUACAGUGGCUAUGUCUCCCUAAACUUACCUUACUCCAAUUAUUUCCUUUAUCAAAAUCCAUUCUUCAUUUCUGAUUAAAAUCAUAAAACAAAGUAGGACUUACUUUAUUUUAAGCAUUUAUGCUACACCUGACAAUUUUUGACAAAGUGUGGAGCUUAACUAAGCUCAACUUCUUUCGACAAGUAAAUGUUUCCCAGAAUACUCGCCUUUCUAUCCAGUCCUUCCUUCGUAGCCUCGCAAUACCAUCUGUCAUCCUUUCUAAGAGCCUCCUGUGGGCAAACAUGGAGAAGAAAAGAGGACUAGGGUAUUUCGACAGUUCCAAAAAGAUGGUGGCACAUAGGUAAGAAAUCCGGCACCUUGACAAAACUAAUAAAAGGAUAGUUAUGGGAGGGGGCAAAAAAAAAACGAAUCGACUGCUGCCGUUACAGAACCGUUUUAAGUGCUUUAUGCUUCCGGAAUCUGCCAACCAGGGAUAUUUUCUUACACUUGCAAGCUAAGCAAGAGCAUGUACUACAGCUCAUUGAGAAGCAUUGGAAAGUCCAGGUCCUGUGUGCAUUCCCGGCUCCAGCACAGAGACUUCUCAAUGAGAAAAUCUGUGCCAGGGAAAGAGCAAUGGCUGCAGCCAGGGGGUAAAUAGGUUUUUUUUUUUUUUAAAGAAAGAUUGCAAUUUAGUUUCCUUUUAAUCAUGUUGCU
This is a non-coding RNA of Pelobates cultripes (western spadefoot toad), 818 nucleotides long. NCBI's taxonomy places the organism in Eukaryota, Metazoa, Chordata, Amphibia, Anura, Pelobatidae. The record is from the annotation of a GenBank genome assembly.